This 850-nucleotide ribosomal RNA is filed under the name uncultured bacterium. RNAcentral's name for it is "bacterial SSU rRNA". It matches the Rfam family "Bacterial small subunit ribosomal RNA", at positions 56 to 900 of the family's 1533-position model. The record is from RNAcentral.
UGCAAGUCGAGCGGUACAGGUGUAGCAAUACAUGCUGACGAGCGGCGGACGGGUGAGUAACGCUUGGGAAUCUGCCUGUUAGUGGGGGACAACCCGGGGAAACUCGGGCUAAUACCGCAUACGCACUACGGUGGAAAGCCGGGGACCGCAAGGCCUGGCGCUAACAGAUGAGCCCAAGUCGGAUUAGCUAGUUGGUAGGGUAACGGCCUACCAAGGCGACGAUCCGUAACUGGUCUGAGAGGACGACCAGUCACACCGGAACUGAGACACGGUCCGGACUCCUACGGGAGGCAGCAGUGGGGAAUAUUGGACAAUGGGGGCAACCCUGAUCCAGCGACGCCGCGUGGGUGAAGAAGGCCUGCGGGUUGUAAAGCCCUUUCGGUUGGGAAGAAAAGUUGCGGUUUAAUACAUCGCGACCUUGACGUAACCAACUAAAGAAGCACCGGCUAACUCUGUGCCAGCAGCCGCGGUAAUACAGAGGGUGCGAGCGUUAAUCGGAAUUACUGGGCGUAAAGCGCGCGUAGGCGGCUUUGUAAGUCGGUUGUGAAAUCCCCGGGCUUAACCUGGGAACUGCAUCCGAGACUGCAUGGCUAGAGUAUGGGAGAGGGAAGUGGAAUUUCAGGUGUAGCGGUGAAAUGCGUAGAUAUCUGAAGGAACAUCAGUGGCGAAAGCGACUUCCUGGACCAAUACUGACGCUCAUGUGCGAAAGCGUGGGGAGCAAACAGGAUUAGAUACCCUGGUAGUCCACGCCAUAAACGAUGAGAACUGGAUGUCGGAGGGGUCUGCCCUUCGGUGUCGUAGCUAACGCGUUAAGUUCUCCGCCUGGGGAGUACGGCCGCAAGGUUGAAAC